UGUGCGAAAAGGCAAAAUCGUUGAAAAACGAUGACGCAAAACUAAAGGGGCUAAGGGAAGGACUCCUAUGCCAGCCAGUUGUCGAA
RNAcentral lists this non-coding RNA (86 nucleotides) under Domibacillus enclensis. RNAcentral's name for it is "c-di-GMP sequence". It matches the Rfam family "c-di-GMP-I riboswitch aptamer". Rfam says of the family: GEMM was predicted in a large-scale screen for bacterial structured RNA regulatory elements. Genes associated with GEMM are involved in a diverse array of functions, including chemotaxis regulation, signal transduction, secretion and chitin. The record is from RNAcentral. Lineage: Bacteria; Bacillati; Bacillota; Bacilli; Caryophanales; Bacillaceae.